RNAcentral lists this ribosomal RNA (4749 nucleotides) under Candidatus Doudnabacteria bacterium RIFCSPLOWO2_02_FULL_49_13. RNAcentral's name for it is "bacterial LSU rRNA". The stretch from base 1 to 3891 matches the Rfam family "Bacterial large subunit ribosomal RNA". The record is from RNAcentral. Lineage: Bacteria; Candidatus Doudnaibacteriota.
AAUUAAACAAAUAAGGGUGUAUGGUGGAUGCCUUGACAGUUUGAGCCUAAGAAGGACGCAGCAACCUGCGAAAGCUUCGGUGAGGUGGUAAGCAACCUUUGAUCCGGAGGUGUCCGAAUGGGGAAACCUAUCUGUUUGAAGAACAGAUGAUCAGUAUCCGUGGUGGAUACGAGAUCGGGAACCAUGCGAAGUGAAACAUCUCAGUAGCAUGUGGAAAAGAAAAUAAGGGCAUUAUUUAAUUUGAACUUUUGAUAUUGAAGUUCAAAUCGAAUAUUGUCUCAUUCUCCUAGUAGUGGCGAGCGAACGGGGAGGAGUCUAAACUAACUUUGUGUCUUCGAGUCGAAGAGUAAUCGCAAGAUUAUUUCAAACUCGGAUUAAAGCUUACAGGCGUUGCAAGGAUUAGUGUUGUAACAAUCAUUCAUUAGAACUCUGUAAAGUUCUUGAAGAUUCAGUUGGAGCUGUUUAGCCGAAUGGUCUGGAAAGACCAGCCAAAGAACGUGAUAGCCGUGUAGCGCGAAAAACCUCUUAUAUCUUCCGAAUGGUUUGUUAAGUACAACUAGACACGUGAAAUCUAGUUGGAAUCUGUGUCGACUACGACAUAAGACUAAAUACUCAAAUUGAUCGAUAGUGAACAAGUACCGCGAGGGAAAGGUGAAAAGCAGCCCGGUGAGGGCGAUGAAAUAGUACCUGAAACCAUACACUUACAAUCGAGUGGGAGCUCCAACGCCGCAGGGUGUUGUGAGUGACCGCGUGCCUAUUGAAGAAUGAUCCAACGAGUUAGCCGUACGUUGCUUACUUAAGCAUUAUCAAAUGCGAAGGUAUAGUGAAAGCGAGCCUUAAUAGGGCGUAAAAAUCAGAUAUCAGAUAAUCGGAGAUUUUCCGACCUCUGAUUUCCGAUUUUAGGUAGCGUGCGCUAAACCCGAAACCCGGUGAUCUACUCAUGGUCAGGAUGAACGUUAUGUAAAAGUAACGGGAGGUCCGAACGCUAGAAUGUUGCAAAAUUCCGCGAUGAACUGUGAGUAGGGGAGAAAUUCCAAUCGAACUGGGUAAUAGCUGGUUCUCCUCGAAAUAGCUUUAGGGCUAGCCUGUGCCGCACGUGUUUGAGGUAGAGCACUGAAUCGGCUCUGCGGGAGCAAUCUCGUAGACCGAACCAAACUCCGAAUUCAAACACUUAAGGGCAUGGAGUCAGACAAUGAGGUCUAAGCUUCGUUUGUCUAAUGGAGAAGAAUCCACACCGCCGUUUAAGGUCCCUAAAUCAAAACUAUAGUGUAAAGGAUGUGGGAACACUUAUACAACCAGGAGGUUGGCUUAGAAGCAGCCAUCCUUUAAAGAAAGCGUAACAGCUCACUGGUCAAGCGUUCUUGCGCCGACAAUGUAUAGGGGCUAAGUUUUGUACCGAAGACGCGGAUCCAAGUUCGGAGGUCAGAAAUCAGAUGUCAGAGGUCAGAGAAAUCCGACUUCUGAUUAUCCGACUUCCGAUCUCUGAACUUGGGUGGUAGAGGAGCGUUGUAUGUGGGCUGAAGCAGAGAGGGAACUCUCUGUGGACUGCAUACAAGUGAGAAUGUUGGAAUAAGUAAUAUGUAUGCAUGUGAGAAUCAUGCACACCGAAAAUCCAAGGUUUCCUGGGCAAUGAUAAUCAUCCCAGGGUUAGUCGAUCCUAAGUUCGUACCCGAACGGGUGCGGAUGAUGGCAAAUACGGUUGAUAUUCCGUAACCGCUUAUAAUACUGAUGCAAUUACACAUCAUGGUAAUCCGAGCAUAUUUUGACUAUAUGUGUUCUUGUGUUCUUAGCUGGGUGCUUGAGGUAAACCCCAAGCGUCUAUGUGUCCAGUUCGGAGGUCAGAGAUCAGAUGUCAGAGAUCGGAGAAAUUCGACUUCUGAUUAUCCGACUUCCGAUCUCCGAACUUGGAUUACUGUAACAGUGAAAACAUGAGAGAAGCUCGGUAACGGGCAAUUUGGACGAACCAAGGUGUCAAGAAACGUUGCUAGGGAUUAGCGAAGUUGUCUCGCAAGAGGUGACUUUGCUAAAUAGUUAUAAGUGAUCGUACCGCAAACCGACACAGGUGGAUGAGUGCUAGAAUACUAAGGUGACCGGGACAAUAAUCCUUAAGGAACUCGGCAAAAAAGCAGGCGUAAGUUAGCAAUAUGCCUUGCCCAGCCCCACUCUUCAGAUUCUAUGAUGAAUUUGAGAGUAAUGUUCCAGUUUAAGACAAUACACUCUAAGACAUAGUAGUUUUUGAUGAGUGGAGCUGGGUCGCAGCGACUGACCCCUCCCGACUGUUUAUCAAAAACUUAGGUCCGUGCAAACCCGCAAGGGGAAGUAUACGGGCUGAUGCCUGGCCAGUGUUAGAAGGUUAAACUCUUUUGCGCAAGCUCAAGAGCCAAGCCCUAAUGAACGCCGGCGAUAACUAUAAUCGUCCUAUGGUGAACUAAAAGCUGCCAUAGUAAAACUUGGCCAAAUGCUGGGAUAUCUGGUGUAUCGAGCGCUACUAGGUUAUAAUGACAAUGGAUAUUUAUUCCUUGUCUUAUGAAACAAAGUAAAAAUGCGUCUCGUGCAGACAAUCAGCAGGAAAGGCUAAUUGGUUGGAUUUUAGGGUUUGUUGAUGGAGAAGGUUGUUUCUCGAUUAAUUUCACGAAACAGCCAGAUCGUCAGGAAGCCACUAGAAUCCGGAGAGGUUACAAGACUGGUUAUCAAAUUUCGCAAAACUUUGCAGUAGUGCAAGGUCAGCGUAGUCUAAGGUCUUUAGAAGUGAUUAAGAUUUUCUUCGGAAUUGGUAAAAUUUACCGAAAUCGAAGACAUGAUAAUCAUAAAGAAGAUUUAUACAGCUAUAAAGUUACUAAUCGCGAAGAUUUGAAACGAGUAAUUAUUCCCUUUUUUAAACGGAAUAAACUGAUAACCUCGAAGCGAAAUGAUUUUUUGUUGUUCGCAAAGUGUGUUGAGUUAAUGCUACAGAAUAAGCACCUCGCAAUUGGCGGAAUGCUUAAAAUAGCCAGACUUACACAAAAGAUGAAUCACAAAAAAUCGCGAGAUAAACUAAUUAGAAUCCUCAGAGACUAUACGCCAAGGUCGUCCAAAAGACGACAAGAUAUAGUCCCAACUGCAUAGCGAUAUGCAGGCUUAACAGCACUUAAUCAUAAAAGAUUAAGAAAGACCCGAGCGAAAUUCCUUGUCGUGUAAGUUACGACCCGCACGAAUGGCAUAACGAGUAGGGGACUGUCUUAAGGAUUAACCCGAUGAAUUUACAUUGACGGUAAAGAUGCCGUCUACCCGCAACAAGACGGAAAGACCCUAUGAAGCUUUACUAUAGUGUGUCAUUGAUGCAAGAAUUUUUUUGUUUAGCAUAGGUGGGAGCCUUCGAAGUACUGGCGCUAGCUGGUAUGGAGGCGACAAGUGAAAUACCACCCUGAAAGAUUUUUGUUUCUAACCUUUAUUUAACCAACAAAGGGACAGUGGCUCAUGGGUAGUUUAACUGGGGCGGUUGCCUCCUAAAUGGUAACGGAGGCGUUUAUUAAGGUGAGCUUAGCUCCGAUGGAAACGGAGUGUGACGCGCAAACGCAAAAGCUCGCUUAACUGCAAGGCUGGCACGCCGCGCAGAUACGAAAGUAGAAGUUAGUGAUCCGACCAUCCUUCGUGGAAGGGUGGAAGCUCAACGGAUAAAAGUUACUCUAGGGAUAACAGGCUGAUCUAGUCCAAGAGUCCAUAUCGACGACUAGGUUUGGCACCUCGAUGUCGGCUCAUCGCAUCCUGGAGCUGGAGAAGGUUCCAAGGGUUUGGCUGUUCGCCAAUUAAAGCGAUACGCGAGCUGGGUUCAAAACGUAAACUACAUUGCGUUGUAUCAUAGAAAUAUGAUAUUAUUAUCUGACUAAUAUCGGUGAAACCCGAAGUUGUUCUCCAAAUGACAACUGGGCAAUACCGAGGGAAGAUCAGAUUAUGUCGAGUGAAGAAAAGUCUUAUAUAGCUGGGUUUCUUGAUGGUGAUGGAUGUAUUAUGGCUCAACUUGUGAAGCAUAAAGAUUAUGUCUUUGGUUUCCAGGUUCGGGUGAGCAUAGUGUUCUAUCAGAAAACAAAUCAUCAAGAAAUUCUUUCUUGGCUUAAAUCUAUGUUAAAUCUUGGUUAUAUUCGUCAUCGAAAUGACGGAAUGACCGAGUAUACUAUAGUUGGUUUGAAAGAAGUAAGAGAAAUUUUAACUCUUCUUUCUCCAUUUCUUCGCUUAAAAAAAGUUUUAGCUCAGGAAGUUUUGAAAUUAAUUCGAAGCUAUCCUCUAAAAAUGACUCCGAAAGAAUUAGUUCGUCUAAGUAAAUUAGUGGAUAAAACCGCAAAAUUUAAUUAUUCAAAAAAACGAACCAAUACUUCGGUUUCAGUUGAGACUUUUUUGAAAGAACAUAAUCUUUUCCCCGUAGAGACUGAAUCGCAGGCAAGAACUGCGUGAAGAUAUCUCACUUUUGUGAGGUAUAAUACGUCAGCCCCUCCUCUAUCUCUUAUAGAGAGGGUGAAGAUAUAGUCCAUGCCAUUAGUAAUAAUGGAAUUACAUGCGUGAGACAGUUUGGUCCUUAUCUGUUGUGGGUGUUCGAAACUUGAGUGGGUGCAUCCUUAGUACGAGAGGACCAGGAUGCAUAGACCUCUGGUGUAUCCGUUGUCCCGUCAGGGGCAUGGCGGAGUAGCUAGGUCUAGUUAAGAUAAACGCUGAAUGCAUAUAAGCGUGAAGCUGUCCACAAAACUAGGUUUCGUUGUCCUUCGGGACGAUAGGUUC